UGUCGUCAGCUCGUGUCGUGAGAUGUUGGGUUAAGUCCCGUAACGAGCGCAACCCUUGUCCUUAGUUACCAGCACGUUAUGUGGGCACUCUAAGGAGACUGCCGGUGACAAACCGGAGGGAAGGUGGGGAUGACGUCAAGUCAUCAUGGCCCUUACGGCCUGGGCUACACACGUGCUACAAUGGUCGGUACAAAGGGUUGCCAAGCCGCGAGGUGGAGCUAAUCCCAUAAAACCGAUCGUAGUCCGGAUCGCAGUCUGCAACUCGACUGCGUGAAGUCGGAAUCGCUAGUAAUCGUGAAUCAGAAUGUCACGGUGAAUACGUUCCCGGGCCUU
This 333-nucleotide ribosomal RNA is filed under the name uncultured Pseudomonas sp. RNAcentral's name for it is "bacterial SSU rRNA". It matches the Rfam family "Bacterial small subunit ribosomal RNA", at positions 1050 to 1382 of the family's 1533-position model. The record is from RNAcentral. Lineage: Bacteria; Pseudomonadati; Pseudomonadota; Gammaproteobacteria; Pseudomonadales; Pseudomonadaceae.